This 492-nucleotide ribosomal RNA is filed under the name uncultured bacterium. RNAcentral describes it as "partial 16S ribosomal RNA". It matches the Rfam family "Bacterial small subunit ribosomal RNA", at positions 29 to 507 of the family's 1533-position model. The record is from RNAcentral.
AGUGAACGCUGGCGGUAGGCCUAACACAUGCAAGUCGAACGGCAGCACAGUAAGAGCUUGCUCUUACGGGUGGCGAGUGGCGGACGGGUGAGGAAUACAUCGGAAUCUACUUUUUCGUGGGGGAUAACGUAGGGAAACUUACGCUAAUACCGCAUACGACCUACAGGUGAAAGCAGGGGAUCUUCGGACCUUGCGCGAUUGAAUGAGCCGAUGUCGGAUUAGCUAGUUGGCGGGGUAAAGGCCCACCAAGGCGACGAUCCGUAGCUGGUCUGAGAGGAUGAUCAGCCACACUGGAACUGAGACACGGUCCAGACUCCUACGGGAGGCAGCAGUGGGGAAUAUUGGACAAUGGGCGCAAGCCUGAUCCAGCCAUACCGCGUGGGUGAAGAAGGCCUUCGGGCUGUAAAGCCCUUUUGUUGGGAAAGAAAAGCAGCAGGUUAAUACCCCGCUGUUCUGACGGUACCCAAAGAAUAAGCACCGGCUAACUUCGUG